RNAcentral lists this ribosomal RNA (253 nucleotides) under uncultured bacterium. Its description in RNAcentral is "partial 16S ribosomal RNA". It matches the Rfam family "Bacterial small subunit ribosomal RNA", at positions 524 to 776 of the family's 1533-position model. The record is from RNAcentral.
UACGUAGGAUGCAAGCGUUGUCCGGAAUUAUUGGGCGUAAAGAGCUCGUAGGCAGCUUGUCGCGUCGGCUGUGAAAACCUAAGGCUCAACCCCGGGCCUGCAGCCGAUACAGGCAAGCUAGAAUUCGGUAGGGGAGACUAAAAUUCCUAGUGUAGCGGUGAAAUACGCAGAUAUCAAGAAGAACACCAGUGGCGAAGACGAGUCUCUGGGCCGAAAUUAACGCUGAGGAGCGAAAGCGUGGAAAGCAAACAGG